Neltuma alba is the source of this 376-nucleotide long non-coding RNA. RefSeq lists it as uncharacterized. The record is from RefSeq and is a predicted model, not a curated record. Lineage: Eukaryota; Viridiplantae; Streptophyta; Magnoliopsida; Fabales; Fabaceae. The transcript is spliced from 2 exons.
UUAGAAGACUUAAUUUGCCUCCGUGCUCUAAAAAGGUGUGCUUGGUGUGACUCUGCCGCCAUGGAAGAUGUUCCUGUAACUUGGUGUUUGACUUCUAAUUGUUUUUUUUCUGAGUUGUGCAUGAUUUCCUCCUAAAUGUUCUUUUAUGGCGAAAGAAGAAAGAACGGAUCUUACGUGAAGAUGUUUGCUAAUUGAUUUUUUUCAACAAACGUAUGAUUGAUGGAUAUUCCUAACAACUUAAAUUCUCUUUAUUAACAUUUCAGGCAGAUUCAUCGGUUUUGAUUGAACAAUCUAACAUUAUGAAAACUUCUCAGGUAGAUGUAAUCUAUAAAAAAGUUCACGGUAGCAUAUGAUGUUCCACUGUGAAGUGAAUUUA